UACACUCCUGCGGGAGGCAGCAGUGGGGAAUUUUGGACAAUGGGCGAAAGCCUGAUCCAGCAAUGCCGCGUGAGUGAAGAAGGCCUUCGGGUUGUAAAGCUCUUUUGUCAGGGAAGAAACGGUGAGAGCUAAUAUCUCUUGCUAAUGACGGUACCCGAAGAAUAAGCACCGGCUAACUACGUGCCAGCAGCCGCGGUAAUACGUAGGGUGCAAGCGUUAAUCGGAAUUACUGGGCGUAAAGCGUGCGCAGGCGGUUUUGUAAGUCUGAUGUGAAAUCCCCGGGCUCAACCUGGGAAUUGCAUUGGAGACUGCAAGGCUAGAAUCUGGCAGAGGGGGGUAGAAUUCCACGUGUAGCAGUGAAAUGCGUAGAUAUGUGGAGGAACACCGAUGGCGAAGGCAGCCCCCUGGGUCAAGAUUGACGCUCAUGCACGAAAGCGUGGGGAGCAAACAGGAUUAGAUACCCUGGUAGUCCCA
This 474-nucleotide ribosomal RNA is filed under the name uncultured organism. Its description in RNAcentral is "partial 16S ribosomal RNA". It matches the Rfam family "Bacterial small subunit ribosomal RNA", at positions 332 to 797 of the family's 1533-position model. The record is from RNAcentral.